CGAACGGGUGCGUAACACGUGAGGAACCUGCCCCGGUCUCUGGAAUAACAGUGGGAAACCACUGCUAAUACCGGAUAUCUCCUCGGAACCGCAUGGCUCUGAGAAGAAAGGGUUACCGGAUCGGGAGGGUCUCGCGGCCUAUCAGCUAGUUGGUGGGGUAAUGGCCUACCAAGGCUCCGACGGGUAGCUGGUCUGAGAGGACGAUCAGCCACACUGGGACUGAGACACGGCCCAG
This 235-nucleotide ribosomal RNA is filed under the name uncultured bacterium. RNAcentral's name for it is "partial 16S ribosomal RNA". It matches the Rfam family "Bacterial small subunit ribosomal RNA", at positions 99 to 334 of the family's 1533-position model. The record is from RNAcentral.